RNAcentral lists this ribosomal RNA (1279 nucleotides) under uncultured bacterium. Its description in RNAcentral is "bacterial SSU rRNA". It matches the Rfam family "Bacterial small subunit ribosomal RNA", at positions 8 to 1306 of the family's 1533-position model. The record is from RNAcentral.
AGAGUUUGAUCCUGGCUCAGGACGAACGCUGGCGGCGCGCCUAACACAUGCAAGUCGAACGAGAGAGAGGGAGCUUGCUUCCUCAAUCGAGUGGCGAACGGGUGAGUAACGCGUGAGGAACCUGCCUCAAAGAGGGGGACAACAGUUGGAAACGACUGCUAAUACCGCAUAAGCCCACGGCUCGGCAUCGAGCAGAGGGAAAAGGAGCAAUCCGCUUUGAGAUGGCCUCGCGUCCGAUUAGCUAGUUGGUGAGGUAAUGGCCCACCAAGGCGACGAUCGGUAGCCGGACUGAGAGGUUGAACGGCCACAUUGGGACUGAGACACGGCCCAGACUCCUACGGGAGGCAGCAGUGGGGAAUAUUGCACAAUGGGGGAAACCCUGAUGCAGCGACGCCGCGUGGAGGAAGAAGGUCUUCGGAUUGUAAACUCCUGUUGUUGAGGAAGAUAAUGACGGUACUCAACAAGGAAGUGACGGCUAACUACGUGCCAGCAGCCGCGGUAAAACGUAGGUCACAAGCGUUGUCCGGAAUUACUGGGUGUAAAGGGAGCGCAGGCGGGAAGACAAGUUGGAAGUGAAAUCUAUGGGCUCAACCCAUAAACUGCUUUCAAAACUGCUCUUCUUGAGUAGUGCAGAGGUAGGCGGAAUUCCCGGUGUAGCGGUGGAAUGCGUAGAUAUCGGGAGGAACACCAGUGGCGGAGGCGGCUGACUGGGCGCCAACUGACGAUGAGGGUAGAGAGUGUCGGUAUCAAACAGGAUUAGAUACCGUGUUAUCGCACACUGUAAACGAUGAUUACUAGGUGGUGGAGGAGUGACCCCCUGCAGUGCCGCAGUUAACACAAUAAGUAAUCCACGUGGGGAGUACGACCGCAAGGUUGAAACUCAAAUGAAUUGACGGGGGCCCGCACAAGCAGUGGAGUAUGUGGUUUAAUUCGACGCAACGCGAAGAACCUUACCGAGUCUUGACAUCCCUUGACGAACAUAGAAAUAUGUUUUCUCUUCGGAGCAAGGAGACAGGUGGUGCAUGGUUGUCGUCAGCUCGUCUCGUGAGAUGUUGGGUUAAGUCCCGCGACGAGCGCAACCCUUACUGUCAGUUACUACGCAAGAGGACUCUGGCAGGACUGCCGUUGACAAAACGGAGGAAGGUGGGGAUGACGUCAAAUCAUCAUGCCCUUUAUGACUUGGGCUACACACGUUCUGCGGUGGCGUUGUUCCCUGGGGCGCGUGGCCGCGGGUUGGGGCUGCCCCUCCGGCCCGGCGUCCCGGUUCGGUCUGCCGGGU